RNAcentral lists this ribosomal RNA (449 nucleotides) under uncultured prokaryote. RNAcentral's name for it is "bacterial SSU rRNA". It matches the Rfam family "Bacterial small subunit ribosomal RNA", at positions 355 to 796 of the family's 1533-position model. The record is from RNAcentral.
UAGGGAAUCUUCCACAAUGGACGCAAGUCUGAUGGAGCAACGCCGCGUGAGUGAAGAAGGUUUUCGGAUCGUAAAGCUCUGUUGUUGGUGAAGAAGGAUAGAGGUAGUAACUGGCCUUUAUUUGACGGUAAUCAACCAGAAAGUCACGGCUAACUACGUGCCAGCAGCCGCGGUAAUACGUAGGUGGCAAGCGUUGUCCGGAUUUAUUGGGCGUAAAGCGAGCGCAGGCGGAAGAAUAAGUCUGAUGUGAAAGCCCUCGGCUUAACCGAGGAACUGCAUCGGAAACUGUUUUUCUUGAGUGCAGAAGAGGAGAGUGGAACUCCAUGUGUAGCGGUGGAAUGCGUAGAUAUAUGGAAGAACACCAGUGGCGAAGGCGGCUCUCUGGUCUGCAACUGACGCUGAGGCUCGAAAGCAUGGGUAGCGAACAGGAUUAGAUACCCCCGUAGUCC